Non-coding RNA from Triticum aestivum (bread wheat), 135 nucleotides. The record is from Rfam. NCBI's taxonomy places the organism in Eukaryota, Viridiplantae, Streptophyta, Magnoliopsida, Poales, Poaceae.
CAACUACUCCCUCUGUCCCAAAUUUCUUGUCUUAGAUUUGUCUAGAUACUGAUGUAUCUAAUACUAAAAUGUGACUUGAUACAUCCGUAUCUAGACAAAUCUAAGACAAGAAUUUUGGGAUGGAGGGAGUACUUU